Molecule: transfer RNA, 71 nt
Filed under: Urocitellus parryii (Arctic ground squirrel)
Lineage: Eukaryota; Metazoa; Chordata; Mammalia; Rodentia; Sciuridae
Also listed under: 2 other names
Description: Spermophilus parryii (Arctic ground squirrel) tRNA
Rfam family: tRNA
About the family: Transfer RNA (tRNA) molecules are approximately 80 nucleotides in length. Their secondary structure includes four short double-helical elements and three loops (D, anti-codon, and T loops). Further hydrogen bonds mediate the characteristic L-shaped molecular structure. tRNAs have two regions of fundamental functional importance: the anti-codon, which is responsible for specific mRNA codon recognition, and the 3' end, to which the tRNAs corresponding amino acid is attached (by aminoacyl-tRNA synthetases). tRNAs cope with the degeneracy of the genetic code in two manners: having more than one tRNA (with a specific anti-codon) for a particular amino acid; and 'wobble' base-pairing, i.e. permitting non-standard base-pairing at the 3rd anti-codon position.
Source: Rfam by way of RNAcentral
GUGGUUGUGGCUAAGUGGUAGAGCAUUUGCCUAGCAUGUGUGAGGCACUGGGUUCAAUUCUCAGCACCACA